Molecule: long non-coding RNA, 2167 nt
Organism: Triticum aestivum (bread wheat)
Lineage: Eukaryota; Viridiplantae; Streptophyta; Magnoliopsida; Poales; Poaceae
Exons: 4
Source: RefSeq, a predicted model, not a curated record
UUUGGCUAAGCCUCCCAGACCCCUCUUUCCCCCACCCCAUCUUAUCUCUUUCCCACGCCACACAUCAACCUAAACCUAGGUCGCCUGCCGCCGCCGCCGUCCCCUGACCUGCCUGUCGAUUUGCUCGUGCCGCCUCCUGUCCCAUCAACGGCGGCACCUCCCGAAGCCUCCUUCUACCAUGUGGUGCUUCCCCACGGUCCAAUCCCAAGGUUAUGCCUCAUCGUCCGCAGCAAAGGAGCCCCUCCACUGCCCGCAGCCAAGGAGUCGAGUCGACCGCCACCAAGGAUCCGCGUUGCCAACCGCCAGCGUGGAGUCGACCAUCGCCGAACAACCCCGCCGUACUUCCUCAAGAUCCAGGGCGCUGUAGGGUGAUGCUGUCUGCAACCAAGGAGCCACCUAGCCCUCUACAUCAAGAAGUUCUCCUUCCCUUUGUCUUGCUUCGCCCCCAAAUCCAGCCCCUGUAGGCUGCAAGGAUCCCCAACCAUGCUGAGUGGUAAUGCUUGAGGCUAGUAAAGUAUCAUUGUGCACUUCUGGAACAACUAUCAUAGAAGUAUGGAACUAAUGCUAGCAAAACUACCCGGUGUAGUCACCAGAGGAAAAAGAUGAACUUUAUUUUCCAAUGUGGCUACAUAAAGAUCUAGCCAUAAAGAUAAGGUAAUUUGUUUCUAAUCUAAUACACCUUAUAUGUUAAGUGGUACAAAGGGAGCUACUAUAUAUGCAAAUAUUCUCAGUUGGAACAUAAUUGUUCAGUUGAGCUACUGAACUUGCUGAUAGGAAAACAUGCUAAGGUUAACAACUUGAAAAUUUUCUAGUUAACUAAAUAAGAUAUUCUGGCAGUUUAAAAGUUGUUUCAACCAGACCACAUCCUCUUUGUGUAAAUCCUACUAUAUUCUCUAGUUACACUAAGAACAGAAGUAUGUACACAAGUACUAGUAUGUUUAGCCACUACAACAUUAUGGCCAUAGUGGGUAGAUUAGGAUGCAACAUCUGUUUGUAUCCGUUGGUAUGUCAAUUUUGCUGCUUGCUAGGAGAUGUUCAUCUCCAGUGUUGAUUGCAAUUUCAUAUGGCAGUUAAAUCACCUCGUAAUAGUUAUGGUGUAGUAAGAUUUGGGUUAAAUAUCGGUUUCAUACACGCUGAAUUUUGAGUUAGUCUCCAGAUAGAAGUUGUAGUGUACUUCUGAAGCUUUCCAGAGAGUAUUUUUUUACUGGGUAGUUUGAGAGCAUCGACCACCUCAAACUUGCUGUCCAAAAAUUAGUAUCUCUAUUGGGACAUGAUAUUGCAAAAGAAACAAUGCAUUGAUACUUUCCCUAUUCCUUUUAUGUUUGCUUGCUAUUUACAUAUUUAACCGUCCAAAGUAGGGCCGCCAUUGUAUUAUUACCAUACUUAAAUUGUUGGCUGAUUGUAAUUCUGAGAACUGUAUUAUUUGCAUUGCUAACAUAUCAUGGUAUAUAUUUCGGAUCCUACGCUACUUAUUUAGAUCACAAACUAAUUUGUCAUGUUAAUGUUUUAUGCCGAUAUAUGUGCCAGCUUACAUCCAUAUUUGUUUUGCCUUAUGCACAAACUACUGGAUACUUUACAUCAAGCUUGACCAAGCAUGUACCUUAUUGCUUUAGACAUUAGUUACCUUUCAUGCUGUUACUAUACCUGGAGAGCUCUCCAUUGGUUUCUUCAAAGGUGACAUGCCCUGAUUGAUUUAUUACUCUCUAGUGUGUGUAAAGGUUUUUCCUUUUAUGAGCAUUUGGUGCUUUAAUCCAACAAGGCAAUAAGUUCUUUUGCAGGGACAAAUGGCAGGAAAUAACAAGUCCACAAGUUGAUCUAAGAUGUUCCAUGAUCGCUUUUGUUCAUAACAUGGUUGACACCUUUUGUUCAUACAGAACUUGAUGUUGGCUUGGUGAUCAAAGACUUGGUCUCUUCCAUAAUAUUUAGUAGUAGUCAAGUGAUCAAACAAUUGGUCUGUUAGGAUCUUAGCCAUCACAUUUUGUAACAACUUAUCUUGUAUGUUGAGCGAAGAAAAUAAAUGAAUCUUUAUGUAUGUUGAAUGAAUGUACGCAUGGAUGACAUUUUGUGAUGAAUAGAAGAGUCAAUUGUUUGUAUAUAUGCAUUGUAUACUGAACAUGUAUUAAAUAUUAUGAAUGUGAUUUAAUGUUAAAAUAUGGUGUAUUUGCAU